GAUGAACGCUGGCGGCGUGCCUAAUACAUGCAAGUCGAGCGGCAGCGCGAGUAGUUUACUACUUGGCGGCGAGCGGCGGACGGCUGAGUAACGCGUAGGAACGUACCCCAAAGUGAGGGAUAAGCACCAGAAAUGGUGUCUAAUACCGCAUGUGAUCUAAGGAUUAAAGCUUCGGCGCUUUGGGAACGGCCUGCGUUAGAUUAGCUUGUUGGUGAGGUAAAAGCUCACCAAGGCGACGAUCUAUAGCUGGUCUGAGAGGAUGAUCAGCCAGACUGGGACUGAGACACGGCCCAGACUCCUACGGGAGGCAGCAGUAGGGAAUUUUCCACAAUGGGCGAAAGCCUGAUGGAGCAACGCCGCGUGCAGGAUGAAUG
RNAcentral lists this ribosomal RNA (374 nucleotides) under uncultured bacterium. RNAcentral describes it as "bacterial SSU rRNA". It matches the Rfam family "Bacterial small subunit ribosomal RNA", at positions 28 to 414 of the family's 1533-position model. The record is from RNAcentral.